GUAAAGGUCCAUUUUGUGAAGUCAACAUUCUGCAAGGAAAAUACUCUCUGGAGAAUCUGGAUGAUGAUGUAGCGAAGGAUCUUGUCGAGUGGAUGAUCAAUGAACAUCCAAACAACAGACCAACUGUGGAGCAAACCCUUGAACACCCCUUCUUCUGGACUAAUGAACGGAGAGUGGAGUAUUUGAAAAAGAUGGGGAACCAGAAUGAGACCGAGAACUGUCGUAAUGUUGAUGAGGAGCUCCUUCAAACUGUUGAAAAAUACACAGAGGGGAAAAGCUUUUCUGAAUGGAA
This 292-nucleotide long non-coding RNA is filed under the name Sinocyclocheilus grahami. RNAcentral describes it as "lncRNA (ENSSGRG00000029826.1)". The record is from RNAcentral. Lineage: Eukaryota; Metazoa; Chordata; Actinopteri; Cypriniformes; Cyprinidae.